This 497-nucleotide ribosomal RNA is filed under the name uncultured bacterium. RNAcentral describes it as "partial 16S ribosomal RNA". It matches the Rfam family "Bacterial small subunit ribosomal RNA", at positions 28 to 507 of the family's 1533-position model. The record is from RNAcentral.
GAUGAACGCUGGCGGCGUGCCUAAUACAUGCAAGUCGAGCGAACAGACGAGGAGCUUGCUCCUCUGACGUUAGCGGCGGACGGGUGAGUAACACGUGGAUAACCUACCUAUAAGACUGGGAUAACUUCGGGAAACCGGAGCUAAUACCGGAUAAUAUAUUGAACCGCAUGGUUCAAUAGUGAAAGACGGUUUUGCUGUCACUUAUAGAUGGAUCCGCGCCGCAUUAGCUAGUUGGUAAGGUAACGGCUUACCAAGGCGACGAUGCGUAGCCGACCUGAGAGGGUGAUCCGCCCCACUGGAACUGCACCACGGCCCAGACUCCUACGGGAGGCAGAAGUAGGGAAUCUUCCGCAAUGGGCGAAAGCCUGCCGGAGCAACGCCGCGUGAGUGAUGAAGGUCUUCGGAUCGUAAAACUCUGUUAUUAGGGAAGAACAAAUGUGUAAGUAACUAUGCACGUCUUGACGGUACCUAAUCAGAAAGCCACGGCUAACUACGUG